Molecule: ribosomal RNA, 229 nt
Filed under: Xanthomonas citri pv. citri
Lineage: Bacteria; Pseudomonadati; Pseudomonadota; Gammaproteobacteria; Lysobacterales; Lysobacteraceae
Description: partial 23S ribosomal RNA
Rfam family: Bacterial large subunit ribosomal RNA
Source: RNAcentral
GGACCGGAGUGGACGCAUCACUGGUGUUCGGGUUGUCAUGCCAAUGGCACUGCCCGGUAGCUAAAUGCGGAAGAGAUAAGUGCUGAAAGCAUCUAAGCACGAAACUUGCCCCGAGAUGAGUUCUCCCUGAGACUUUAAGUCUCCUGAAGGAACGUUAAAGACGAUGACGUUGAUAGGCCGGGUGUGUAAGCGCAGCGAUGCGUUGAGCUAACCGGUACUAAUGAACCGU